GGAAGUAAAGCUCAGUGGUAGAGUGUGUGCUUAGAAUGCACUAGGCUCUGGGUUCAAACCCUAGCAACCA
Non-coding RNA from Ictidomys tridecemlineatus (thirteen-lined ground squirrel), 70 nucleotides. Lineage: Eukaryota; Metazoa; Chordata; Mammalia; Rodentia; Sciuridae. The record is from Rfam.